RNAcentral lists this non-coding RNA (24 nucleotides) under Mus musculus (house mouse). The record is from RNAcentral. Lineage: Eukaryota; Metazoa; Chordata; Mammalia; Rodentia; Muridae.
UCAGAAAUCCGCUUGCCUCUGCCU